UUUGAACACUGGCGGCAUGCUUUACACAUGCAAGUCGAACGGUAACAGGGUGCUUGCACCGCUGACGAGUGGCGAACGGGUGAGUAAUGCGUCGGAACGUGCCGAGUAGUGGGGGAUAACGCAGCGAAAGUUGUGCUAACACCGCAUACGUACUGAGGUAGGAAGUGGGGGACCUUCGGGCCUCACGCUAUUCGAGCGGCCGACGUCUGAUUAGCUAGUAGGUGAGGUAAAGGCUCACCUAGGCGACGAUCAGUAGCGGGUCUGAGAGGAUGAUGCGCCACACUUGGACUGAGAAACGGCCCAGACUCCUACGGGAGGCAGCAGUGGGGAAUUUUGGACAAUGGGCGAAAGCCUGAUCCAGCCAUGCCGCGUGUCUGAAGAAGGCCUUCGGGUUGUAAAGGACUUUUGUCAGGGAGGAAAUCCCUAGUGCUAAUAACACUGGGGGAUGACAGUACCUGAAGAAUAAGCACCGGCUAACUACGUGCCAGCCGCCGCCGUAA
This 500-nucleotide ribosomal RNA is filed under the name uncultured bacterium. Its description in RNAcentral is "partial 16S ribosomal RNA". It matches the Rfam family "Bacterial small subunit ribosomal RNA", at positions 30 to 523 of the family's 1533-position model. The record is from RNAcentral.